UACGUAGGGGCCGAGCGUUGUCCGGAGUUAUUGGGCGUAAAGCGCGCGCAGGCGGCCUCGCGCGCCCGACGUGAAAGCCCCCGGCUUAACCGGGGAGGGUCGUUGGGGACGGCGGGGCUUGAGGGCGGGAGAGGUCGGUGGAAUUCCCGGUGUAGUGGUGAAAUGCGUAGAGAUCGGGAGGAACACCUGUGGCGAAGGCGGCCGACUGGGCCGACCCUGACGCUGAGGCGCGAAAGCGUGGGGAGCGAACAGG
This 253-nucleotide ribosomal RNA is filed under the name uncultured bacterium. RNAcentral's name for it is "partial 16S ribosomal RNA". It matches the Rfam family "Bacterial small subunit ribosomal RNA", at positions 524 to 776 of the family's 1533-position model. The record is from RNAcentral.